GUUUUCUCCUUCCUCACUUCCUUCUUUCCUUCCUUCUUUCCUUCCUUCCUUCCUUCCUUCUUUCCUUCCUUCCUUCCUUCUUUCCUUCCUUCCUUCCUUCCUUCCUUCCUUCCUUCCUUCUUUCCUUCCUUCCUUCCUUCCUUCUUUCCUUCCUUCCUUCUUUCCUUCCUUCCUUCCUUCCUUCCUUCUUCCUUCCUUCCUUCCUUCCUCCCUCCC
This 216-nucleotide long non-coding RNA is filed under the name Homo sapiens (human). RNAcentral's name for it is "HSALNT0309992". The record is from RNAcentral. Lineage: Eukaryota; Metazoa; Chordata; Mammalia; Primates; Hominidae.